AGAAGAAAUUCAGGGUAUGGAUGUCCUGAAGGAUAUGGAAAUACAUAACCGCUAGGUGACUGUAUAUUGAUCACAAAAGAAGAGAAUCCUAAAUUUAAGUGAGUGUCCUCUAAAUAUGGAACUCUACUAAUCAAAGAAAAAGAUGUCCAAGUGAUCUUAUCCAAUGAAACACAGCAUGGAAAUGCACACUACAAUUAAUCCCCAAAAGAAGGAGGCUUGAAAGUACUAAUAUUU
Long non-coding RNA from Dermochelys coriacea (leatherback sea turtle), 234 nucleotides. RefSeq lists it as uncharacterized. The record is from RefSeq and is a predicted model, not a curated record. Lineage: Eukaryota; Metazoa; Chordata; Testudines; Dermochelyidae. The transcript has 2 exons.